Long non-coding RNA from Bubalus bubalis (water buffalo), 1482 nucleotides. RefSeq lists it as uncharacterized. The record is from RefSeq and is a predicted model, not a curated record. Lineage: Eukaryota; Metazoa; Chordata; Mammalia; Artiodactyla; Bovidae. The transcript has 3 exons.
GGAACUGGGUGAACCGGGCUAAUCAGAAACAGGUCCAUAUCCUCCACCAGCCAGUUCGCCGAGGCCAGGGGGAAACCCUGACUUCAGGCUCCCACGCGCUGCCUGGCGACCGUCAGAUGGUGCUUGGUUUUGCCAUCACCGGAAAAGCCUCCAUGUCCGCAUAAGCGAAAAAAGAUGCCGUUGGCUUAUAAAUCGCUGCGCCGGUGAUGUGUCGAGCGGAUGGUUUUUAAAGGUUCCUCUCUUUGAUGAUUAAUGCAGCAUGAUGUCCUGCUGACAAAUUCAGAGGUUCUUGUGCCGACACUCAAGUGCAGCGCCUGGCCUUCGUGACCCGGCUGCUGGCAGGGUGUCCAUCUCUGAGUGCAAAGAGAGAAUCCUCUGAACUCAUCCUGUGAACCUCUCUGUGGGCUUCAGAAUCCCUGGGUCUGAACAGAAGAGGCACAGAACACCUUCCCUGGCUAGGCAACUCUUGCACCGCGGGCGGACAAAAGUUUCCAGUCCCGCUUCACAGAUACCCGGAAUUCACAAAACCUGAGGACUUCUCUCACUCAACUUUGAACUGAAAGUUCAAACACAAAACAGAGGCUCACAGAGCGAUGGAUCAGGACCCGGAACCAGAAGUAGGAGUUACAGUAUCUGCGACUUGGGAAAACCACCAGUCUAGCUGGGGUGUUUGGUUUCGUCUUUGGCCCUUGGCCUUUUUGUGUGUGAGAGACGUGUCCACAUGUUUCAUCCUUGGAAUGCAACCAGUUGAACUAGUUAUUUUUAAUCCAGAGAAUGUCAUGCAAAGCCCAAUACUCAACUUAGUCAUGCAAACAAAGGAGGCAAGCAAAAUGCUCCCAAGUAUGCUGACAGUUUAGCUUUUCUCCUACAAAAGGCAACAACCUUUAACUGGAGAAAGAAGUCCCAGGGAUCGUAAAUACUGUUGCACAAACAUAAGGCAGCGUUUGGUUUAAAUACUUACGUAGCUUAUCAAAAGUUUUGUACCAUCGACAGAGUUCCAUUGUGCUCUAAACAAUCUAUUGCUUCAUAGCCCUGGUUUCUUCCCUCAAGUCAUUACAAAAAAAUUAGGUAGCAGACUGAACACAUUUCUCCAGAGUAGCAGCAGAGAAACUUAUGGUGAUGCCAAAGGAAGUUUUGGAAAUUCGUUGUUGGGGACCAUUUUCCCUGAUAGAAUAAAAGCCUUCAACUUUUGGAAAUCCGAGCUAUACGAGGCUCUUAAUUGUUACCUAAAAUUGUCAUCAUUGCUCAAAAAUUUUCUGGCAGAGGAAAUAGGGGCAAAAAGUCAGUCUAAUGAAAGUUGGGUGGUAAAAUUAGAAAAGGGUUGAGAUCAGCAUUCUAACUCAGAGAUAAAGUCUAGUACCUGUGUGUAUAUGUGUGUUAAUGAUCAACGACAACUCCUUUUUUUUAAAUUGAGGUAUAGUUUGAGUUUCCCAAGUGGUGCUAGUAGUAAAGAACCCGUCUGCCAAUGCAGGAGACACAAGA